AUGUCGGAGCCAUGGCGCCUCGUUGGACCGAUCACGGCCACGGCGGCGGCGAGGUGGAAGGAGCUCCACGGCGAGCGGUCGUGGGACGGGCUGCUGCGGCCGCUGGACCUGGACCUCCGGCGCACGCUGAUCUGGUACGGCGAGAUGGCGCAGGCCACGUACGACGCGUUCAACUACGAGAAGCACUCGCCGCACGCCGGCCUCUCACGCUUCGGCAGGAAGCGCUUCUUCGAGCGCGUGAUGCUGCCGGGCCACGCCGCCGCGUACCGGAUCACCAGGUUCCUGUACGCCACGUCCUCCGCCCCCGCCGCGCCGGCCGCCGCGUUCGUCAGGAGCCGCCACCCGCGGCGCCGGUGCAAGGAGUCCAACUGGAUCGGGUACGCCGCGGUGGCCACGGACGCGGGGAUAGCCGCGCUAGGGCGCCGGGACGUGGUCGUCGCGUGGCGCGGCACCAUCCAGGCGCUGGAGUGGAUCAACGACCUCGAGUUCGCCAUGGUGCAUCCCAAGGGCAUCCUCGGCGACGCCACCGGCGCCGACGCCAUGGUGCACCGUGGCUGGUUCUCCAUCUACACCUCCACCGACCCGGCCUCCACCCACAACAACGACAGCGCCAGAAAGCAGGUGUUGGCUGAGGUGAGGAAGCUGGUGGACACGUACAAGGACGAGGAGGUGAGCAUCACGGUGACGGGGCACAGCCUCGGGGCGGCGCUGGCCACGCUGAGCGCGUUCGACAUCGCCGAGAACGGCUACAACUGCACGCCCGCGGCGGCGUUCCCGGUCACGGCGUUUGCGUUCGCCAGCCCGCGCGUGGGCGGCGCCGGCUUCAAGAGGCGGUUCAACACCGCGACGGCCGCCGGCCUCCGUGUCCUGCGCGUUUGCAACGCCCGGGACAUCGUGCCCAGGUACCCGGGGCUGCCGUACCACGACGUGGGCGCCGAGCUGGCCAUCGACACCAGCGCGUCGCCGUACCUGAAGGCGCCCGGCGACGAGCACGUGUGGCACAACCUGGAGUGCUACCUGCACGGGGUGGCGGGCGCAGCGACGGCCUCCGGCGAGGGGUUCGAGCAUGUGGUGGAGCGGGACUUGGCGCUGGUGAACAAGUGGUACGACGCGCUGAAGGAGGAGCACGGGGUGCCGGCGGCGUGGUGGGUGCCGUGGAACAGGGGCAUGGUGAAGGGGGAGGACGGGCGCUGGAGGCUGGUGGACUGCGAGGACGAGGACGACAGGGAGGACGCCGUCGUGCCGCCGGUGAGCAAGUGA
This 1260-nucleotide ribosomal RNA is filed under the name Triticum aestivum (bread wheat). Its description in RNAcentral is "partial small subunit ribosomal RNA". Lineage: Eukaryota; Viridiplantae; Streptophyta; Magnoliopsida; Poales; Poaceae. The record is from RNAcentral.